AGCUUGCUACUUUACCUAGCGGCGGACGGGUGAGUAAUGCUUAGGAAUCUGCCUAUUAGUGGGGGACAACAUUCCGAAAGGGAUGCUAAUACCGCAUACGUCCUACGGGAGAAAGCAGGGGACCUUCGGGCCUUGCGCUAAUAGAUGAGCCUAAGUCGGAUUAGCUAGUUGGUGGGGUAAAGGCCUACCAAGGCGACGAUCUGUAGCGGGUCUGAGAGGAUGAUCCGCCACACUGGGACUGAGACACGGCCCAGACUCCUACGGGAGGCAGCAGUGGGGAAUAUUGGACAAUGGGGGGAACCCUGAUCCAGCCAUGCCGCGUGUGUGAAGAAGGCCUUAUGGUUGUAAAGCACUUUAAGCGAGGAGGAGGCUACCUAGAUUAAUACUCUAGGAUAGUGGACGUUACUCGCAGAAUAAGCACCGGCUAACUCUGUGCCAGCAGCCGCGGUAAUACAGAGGGUGCGAGCGUUAAUCGGAUUUACUGGGCGUAAAGCGUGCGUAGGUGGCUAAUUAAGUCAAAUGUGAAAUCCCCGAGCUUAACUUGGGAAUUGCAUUCGAUACUGGUUAGCUAGAGUAUGGGAGAGGAUGGUAGAAUUCCAGGUGUAGCGGUGAAAUGCGUAGAGAUCUGGAGGAAUACCGAUGGCGAAGGCAGCCAUCUGGCCUAAUACUGACACUGAGGUACGAAAGCAUGGGGAGCAAACAGGAUUAGAUACCCUGGUAGUCCAUGCCGUAAACGAUGUCUACUAGCCGUUGGGGUCUUUGAGACUUUAGUGGCGCAGCUAACGCGAUAAGUAGACCGCCUGGGGAGUACGGUCGCAAGACUAAAACUCAAAUGAAUUGACGGGGGCCCGCACAAGCGGUGGAGCAUGUGGUUUAAUUCGAUGCAACGCGAAGAACCUUACCUGGUCUUGACAUAGUAAGAACUUUCCAGAGAUGGAUUGGUGCCUUCGGGAAUCUACAUACAGGUGCUGCAUGGCUGUCGUCAGCUC
This 989-nucleotide ribosomal RNA is filed under the name Prolinoborus fasciculus. RNAcentral's name for it is "bacterial SSU rRNA". It matches the Rfam family "Bacterial small subunit ribosomal RNA", at positions 77 to 1061 of the family's 1533-position model. Lineage: Bacteria; Pseudomonadati; Pseudomonadota; Betaproteobacteria; Neisseriales; Neisseriaceae. The record is from RNAcentral.